Molecule: ribosomal RNA, 468 nt
Filed under: uncultured bacterium
Lineage: Bacteria
Description: partial 16S ribosomal RNA
Rfam family: Bacterial small subunit ribosomal RNA
Source: RNAcentral
GACGAACGCUGGCGGCGUGCUUAACACAUGCAAGUCGAACGGAAAGGCCCUGCUUUUGUGGGGUGCUCGAGUGGCGAACGGGUGAGUAACACGUGAGUAACCUGCCCUUGACUUUGGGAUAACUUCAGGAAACUGGGGCUAAUACCGGAUAGGAGCUCCUGCUGCAUGGUGGGGGUUGGAAAGUUUCGGCGGUUGGGGAUGGACUCGCGGCUUAUCAGCUUGUUGGUGGGGUAGUGGCUUACCAAGGCUUUGACGGGUAGCCGGCCUGAGAGGGUGACCGGCCACAUUGGGACUGAGAUACGGCCCAGACUCCUACGGGAGGCAGCAGUGGGGAAUAUUGCACAAUGGGCGGAAGCCUAAUGCAGCAACGCCGCGUGCGGGAUGACGGCCUUCGGGUUGUAAACCGCUUUCGCCUGGGACGAAGCGUGAGUGACGGUAAUGGGUAAAGAAGCACCGGCUAACUACGUG